This 317-nucleotide long non-coding RNA is filed under the name Homo sapiens (human). RNAcentral's name for it is "non-protein coding lnc-BCL3-4:1". Lineage: Eukaryota; Metazoa; Chordata; Mammalia; Primates; Hominidae. The record is from RNAcentral.
AGACUCCAGACAGGUAUGCGAGGCGCCUUUGGAAAGCCCCAGGGUGUGGUGGCCAGGGUUCACAUUGGCUAAGGCAUCACGUCCAUCCGCACCAAGCUGCAGAACAUGGAACACGUGAUUGAGGCCCUACCCAGGGCCAAGUUCAAGCUCCCUGGCCACCAGAAGACCCACAUCUCAAGGCGGUGGGACUUUACCAAGUUUAGUGCAGAUGAAUGUGAAGACACGGUGGCUGAGAAGUAGCUCAUCCUGGAUGGCUGUGGCAUCAGAUACAUCCCCAAUCAUAGGCCCCUGGAAUAGUGGCGAGCCCUGCUUACUCA